GCACAUGCACUCGCGGACCCGCCCGUGCAGGCCAGAGCGUGCCACCCCCUGAAAAAUUCGUCCGCAUUCUUCCCCCUCACGGCAAAACUAGGGUUUGGGGGCAUCACUGCGCGUCGUCCACCACCAGGCCAGACUCCGGCGCGCCGUCCACCAUCCGCCGGCGGCGCCGUCCGCCGUAGCACUCGGCCGCCCCGCCCUCCUCAGCCUGCCCCUCCAUCGUCAAGCCGCCCCGUCGGCCGUCGGCGUCCUCCGGCCCACCGUCCUCCGCCACGGCCUCGUCCGCCCGCCCUCCUCCACAGCGCCCUCGUCGGCCCGUCCCCAGCAAGGUCGGUUGCUCCUGCUAGCCUUCCUCCUCUCUUCCGGUUACUGCAACUGCAAAGGUGUGAAGCAAUCUGAAGAUAGAGAUUGGUGCUUCUGCACAUGAGGCUGCCACAGAUGCUUACAUAUCUUGGCACUUGUAUGAGGGCUGAGAAGAAAAAUCUUUUUCAGAAGUUAGAAUUACAGGAUUAUGAAAGUUUCUUGAACAUACGUCAAAAGGCAGUGCACAUGGAUUACUGUAAAUCGUUUUAGAUGUGAUUGCUGAACUUUUCAGCUACUGUUAUGUGCAAAAUUUAUUAGUGCACACUCUUUAGACCAUAUUGGAUUUAUAAUAUAUUUUUUAGCUCACCUCCAGCUCGGUGGUUCCGGUCUCUCAAUACAAAAGAAUGCCAUUGGUUCAAGUGUUGUAUUGACAUUGUCUUUUGUAAUUUGCCUCCGCAGAUUAGCCUCAAAAAUAAAUGAAAUGCUCGUUUUCAGUA
This is a long non-coding RNA of Oryza brachyantha (malo sina), 797 nucleotides long. RefSeq lists it as uncharacterized. The transcript has 3 exons. The record is from RefSeq and is a predicted model, not a curated record. NCBI's taxonomy places the organism in Eukaryota, Viridiplantae, Streptophyta, Magnoliopsida, Poales, Poaceae.